UACGUAGGGUCCGAGCGUUGUCCGGAAUUAUUGGGCGUAAAGAGCUCGUAGGCGGUUUGUCGCGUCUGCUGUGAAAUCCCGAGGCUCAACCUCGGGCCUGCAGUGGAUACGGGCAGACUAGAGUCAGGUAGGGGAGAACGGAAUUCCUGGUGUAGCGGUGAAAUGCGCAGAUAUCAGGAGGAACACCGGUGGCGAAGGCGGUUCUCUGGGCCUGUACUGACGCUGAGGAACGAAAGCGUGGGGAGCGAACAGG
This 253-nucleotide ribosomal RNA is filed under the name uncultured bacterium. Its description in RNAcentral is "partial 16S ribosomal RNA". It matches the Rfam family "Bacterial small subunit ribosomal RNA", at positions 524 to 776 of the family's 1533-position model. The record is from RNAcentral.